GUCCAGACUCCUACGGGAGGCAGCAGUGGGGAAUAUUGCACAAUGGGGGGAACCCUGAUGCAGCAACGCCGCGUGGGUGAAGGAGUAUUUCGGUAUGUAAAGCCCUAUCGGCAGGGAAGAAGCAAGACGGUACCUGACUAAGAAGCCCCGGCUAACUACGUGCCAGCAGCCGCGGGAAUACGUAGGGGGCAAGCGUUAUCCGGAUUUACUGGGUGUAAAGGGGGCGCAGACGGCGAUGCAAGCCAGGAGUGAAAGCCCGGGGCCCAACCCCGGGACUGCUCUUGGAACUGCGUGGCUGGAGUGCAGGAGGGGCAGGCGGAAUUCCUGGUGUAGCGGUGAAAUGCGUAGAUAUCAGGAGGAACACCGGUGGCGAAGGCGGCCUGCUGGACUGCAACUGACGUUGAGGCCCGAAAGCGUGGGGAGCAAACAGGAUUAGAUACCCUCGUAA
Molecule: ribosomal RNA, 448 nt
Filed under: uncultured bacterium
Lineage: Bacteria
Description: bacterial SSU rRNA
Rfam family: Bacterial small subunit ribosomal RNA
Source: RNAcentral